RNAcentral lists this ribosomal RNA (253 nucleotides) under uncultured bacterium. Its description in RNAcentral is "partial 16S ribosomal RNA". It matches the Rfam family "Bacterial small subunit ribosomal RNA", at positions 524 to 776 of the family's 1533-position model. The record is from RNAcentral.
UACGAAGGGGGCGAGCGUUGUUCGGAUUUACUGGGCGUAAAGGGCGCGUAGGCGGCGCAACAAGUCAGGCGUGAAAGCCCCGGGCUCAACCUGGGAGGUGCGCUUGGGACUGUUGUGCUUGAGUUCGGGAGAGGAGAGUGGAAUUCCCAGUGUAGAGGUGAAAUUCGUAGAUAUUGGGAAGAACACCGGUGGCGAAGGCGGCUCUCUGGACCGAGACUGACGCUGAGGCGCGAAAGCGUGGGGAGCAAACAGG